This 468-nucleotide ribosomal RNA is filed under the name uncultured bacterium. Its description in RNAcentral is "partial 16S ribosomal RNA". It matches the Rfam family "Bacterial small subunit ribosomal RNA", at positions 28 to 507 of the family's 1533-position model. The record is from RNAcentral.
GACGAACGCUGGCGGCGUGCUUAACACAUGCAAGUCGAACGGAAAGGCGCUGCGCUUGUGGGGUUCUCGAGUGGCGAAAGGGGGAGUAACACGUGAGGAACCUGCCCUUGACUGUGGGAUAACUUCAGGAAACUGGGGCGAAUACCGGAGAGAAGCUUCUGAUGCAUGGGGGGGGUUGGAAAGUGUCGGCGGUGGGGGAUGGACUCGCGGCUUAUCAGCUUGUUGGUGAGGUAGUGGCUUACCAGGGCUUUGACGGGUAGCCUGCCUGGGAGGGUGACCGGCCACAUUGGGACUGAGAUACGGCCCAGACUCCUACGGGAGGCAGCAGUGGGGAAUAUUGCACAAUGGGCGGAAGCCUGAUGCAGCAACGCCGCGUGCGGAAUGACGGCCUUCGGGUUGUAAACCGAUUUCGCAUGUGCCGAAGCGUGCGUGACGGUAAUGGGUAAAGAAGCACCGGCUAACUACGUG